AGCGAACGCUGGCGGCAGGCCUAACACAUGCAAGUCGAACGAACCUUUCGGGGUUAGUGGCGGACGGGUGAGUAACACGCGGGAACGUGCCUUUAGGUUCGGAAUAACUCAGGGAAACUUGUGCUAAUACCGAAUGUGCCCUUCGGGGGAAAGAUUUAUCGCCUUUAGAGCGGCCCGCGUCUGAUUAGCUAGUUGGUUGAGGUAAUGGCUCACCAAGGCGACGAUCAGUAGCUGGUCUGAGAGGAUGAUCAGCCACAUUGGGACUGAGACACGGCCCAAACUCCUACGGGAGGCAGCAGUGGGGAAUCUUGCGCAAUGGGCGAAAGCCUGACGCAGCCAUGCCGCGUGAAUGAUGAAGGUCUUAGGAUUGUAAAAUUCUUUCACCGGGGACGAUAAUGACGGUACCCGGAGAAGAAGCCCCGGCUAACUUCGUG
This 434-nucleotide ribosomal RNA is filed under the name uncultured bacterium. RNAcentral's name for it is "partial 16S ribosomal RNA". It matches the Rfam family "Bacterial small subunit ribosomal RNA", at positions 29 to 507 of the family's 1533-position model. The record is from RNAcentral.